This is a long non-coding RNA of Polypterus senegalus (gray bichir), 2117 nucleotides long. RefSeq lists it as uncharacterized. The transcript is spliced from 3 exons. NCBI's taxonomy places the organism in Eukaryota, Metazoa, Chordata, Cladistia, Polypteriformes, Polypteridae. The record is from RefSeq and is a predicted model, not a curated record.
GGUACUUCCGGUUUGGUGUCAGGCGUCGUGCAUUCUGGGAAAUGUAGUUUUUAGAGCCCGUCUGCGCCUGUGUUGGAUUGUGAAGUGCGGAGUCUCCUUUCCUUUAAAGCAAUAUAGUACUUCCUCCCAAAAGCGAGAUUGUUUAAAAUGCUACUUAUCCUUGUAGUUUGUUGUGGUAGCCGACAAAUUUUACUCUUGUGUCCAACGAUAAAGUCAAUGGGGAAAAAAGAAGAAACAAAACAUGCAACUCAUGUCGCAUACUGUCAGAACGCUAAAAACUGCAUUUUUUGGCAGAGUAAUAGUUACUUCCUGAAUUCUCCUUUUUGAAUGUCAACAGUAAUGAUGUUCUUCCAACAAUGCUGUCCGUUUGAAUUGAAGACAAGCCCAUUGAUCAAUACGGCAGGUGGAGCGGGAGAUUCGCUUCACACGCACAGCAUUGUGGGAUUUGCGUGUCGAGUACAGUAUUGGUUUAUGGCGAACUCCGCCUUCAUAUAUUUCAUAUUUUGGCAAAAAAUUUACACGUUUUCAUCAUAUGAAUAGAUAUCGGACACCUGGGUAAUGCGACACGAGUUAUUUGGGAAUCGUUUCUUUUUCUCCAUGGAUGGUUUUUGCUCAUCGUUUGCUGUCGUCAGAGUUUGGACACGGGAGUUUCCCGCUCAAUGAUGAGCGCUGUAAGGAGAUUAAAUAUUCUUAUCGGCCACCUCUACAAACUACACGGGUUUCCAAAGAGGGCGGGGCCACCUCUUACAUCACUGCUGACAUGUAAAGGCUUAUGGGAAGUGCAGUUCCUCUCAGUUCAUUUGUCUGCGCUGGCUGUUGGUCUACGGGGUCAAAUCUAGGGGGAGCACCAAGAUGGUUGACGUCUUACAUUAGUGGACACCAAGGAGAGUCCGGCGGAGUGUCAUUUGUUGGGAUGUUCUUAUACUGCUGAGUCAGGAGGUGUCAGACACAUAAAACUGAAGUCCUUUCCAGUGGUGUCAUGGAUGGACGGCUAUCCUGAUGGAGGUGGACCCUCGAUACAGGGGAUGGUCUCACUCAGCCCAAUGGAAGAUGCAUUCAGACUGGAUGGGAGGAAGGCCAGUGUAAUGGAUGGACACUGUGGGGGCAUCCCAGCCAGGAUGGGCUAGUGUUCCCUUUCUUGGUUGAGAGUCUGGGAGGCGAGUUGUGGUUCCAUAGGGCUACCAUACUGGCUUGUGCGGGUGCCAAUAGGAGGCGCUGUUGGGAGGUGAGCCCCCUUUCUUGGGGUGGUUCCCAGAGGCAGUGAUUGAGCACCAGAAGUACCCUCAGAUUAGGUUCAAAUGAGGGAACACGCCACCCAGUGAGGAGAGUUGGACUCGGGAGAAGAGGAGCACAAAGCUCACCUGGGAGGAGUGGCGGAAGAAAAAGGAACAAGAAAAGGGGAUUGUGCUGUGGAAGAAGAGGCCUGGGUGAAGGUGUGUUGAUAAAUCAAAAUGGUCAUUGGAACCUGGGACUGUAGUUGGAGUAAAUGUGUCUGGAGAUUGGGGCUCAGAGAAAUAGAUACAGUGGUCCAGGUAUAGUGGGAUAUGUAAGACACCACACAAUAAAUAGAUAGACAUGAAAGGCACUAUAUAACUGGACAGUCAGUGCAUUUGCUUUUCGUCAAACGUCUUGAGACUGGAUGUCACUCCUUACCCUUCUCUGGCUAGACCUCACACCACUUUGCCCAGUUCACCUUCACAUCUUUUUCUGCUUGUGUAGACCACCACCUCCACGAGGCUCAUGCUCCUAGGUCUGCCAUCACCAAGGUGGCUGUGCUGUAGAUGGGCAGGCAGAGUGGCCGAGCGUCACUGUCACCGGACCCUACACCAGACUUUGUGUGUGACCGUGAGUGACCUACUUGUGUGCCCAAUGCAAAAUAUCCCUGGGAACAGUUGCAGCGUUGCCCGGUCUGGGGUGGCACCUGCCUAAUAUGCCAUGCAGGAAGUUUGUUGGCCCUUAUUGUCUUGCAUUCGUCUUACUUGCACGUAUGUCGCCUCGCGGCUUAUGUCGGUUUCAGCACAUACUGUGCGUGACUGAGUCAGCGUUUUCGGUUUGUAGUCUAAUUUUUAAUUUUAUCUUGGUAUUAUGUGUGUAUUCUUGAUUUGUGCUGCUGUAAU